UUUCAAUUUGUGUUGAGGGGAUGGGGGAGACAAGUUUAUACAACUCUUUUUGUGUUUAAGAUCUAAAGAAUGUUUGACAUAAUUAUUUAAUUGAUGGAUUCAUUUACGGAAUGGGUGGGAUAGUAAAUGGAUAAUGGAAUAGCAGAUAGACCACUUGAAUCAGUUGAUAGGAAAUUCCAGAAGCACUCUCGCUGACUAAUAAAGUUAAUUUAUAUUAAUAAAUAAAUCAUAAACACGCUAUCAAUUGGACCUUUAAGCCCAAUGGGCCUUUUUAUAUUUAUUUCCGUAUAGAUCUCGACGACCUCUGUGUGUCGGGGGUUUAGUUGACAAAAUUAGGGGUUUUCAGUCUCGCCGGCCGAAGUAAAAUUAGAUUCAACCAGAGACGCUCGAUGGAUCCCUCCGCCGCCAACAGUCCUGAAUUGCUUCGCUUCCUUAACGAAGAAGAGCAAAGGGUGAUGAUGAACGAGGCGGUUGCGAAGCUGACAAGCGUGUGUUGGGACAAAUGCCUAACAAGCGCACCGGGUAGCAAGUUCAGCCCUAGUGAGUAUUCAUGUCUCACACACUGUGCUAAGCGUUACGCUGACAUGAGUAUGGUCAUCAUCAGAAGCACUCAGUCCAAGAAGUGACUUACUCCCUUAACCUCCUUUGCCUCUAACUUGUUGCAGCACAAACUUGUUAUGGAAGAAUAGUUUUUUUUUUUAACUAUUGCAAGAAUUAGAUAACUAUUUAGAUUGGUUUUUGAAAACAUUACUGAGGUUUGUAGAAACUUUGUCAUUAGAGGAUACCUUUUGUUAUGAACAGAGGAAACGUUACAGAUAUUAAACUUCAGUUAUAAUGGUUGCAGCUUUGAUUUCAUU
This is an RNA transcript of Brassica rapa (field mustard), 857 nucleotides long. It is a transcript of the gene named mitochondrial import inner membrane translocase subunit TIM8, with no coding region annotated. NCBI's taxonomy places the organism in Eukaryota, Viridiplantae, Streptophyta, Magnoliopsida, Brassicales, Brassicaceae. The record is from RefSeq and is a predicted model, not a curated record.